UGAACUAGUGCUUAUGGUUCUUUACAUUCGCAGGAGAAGUUACAUUGUACAUGGAGAACUUGAAACCUGAUAAACACUAAUUGAAGACAUUUGGAUCAGCGUGUGAGAAAACCAAACCGCCAUCAAAUCUUCACAGCUAGAUGAUCAAGAAAUAAAUUCUAAAAGUAUG
Molecule: long non-coding RNA, 169 nt
Organism: Eurytemora carolleeae
Lineage: Eukaryota; Metazoa; Arthropoda; Copepoda; Calanoida; Temoridae
Exons: 2
Source: RefSeq, a predicted model, not a curated record